Molecule: ribosomal RNA, 253 nt
Filed under: uncultured bacterium
Lineage: Bacteria
Description: partial 16S ribosomal RNA
Rfam family: Bacterial small subunit ribosomal RNA
Source: RNAcentral
UACGUAGGGUGCGAGCGUUAAUCGGAAUUACUGGGCGUAAAGCGUGCGCAGGCGGUCUGUUAAGACAGAUGUGAAAUCCCCGGGCUUAACCUGGGAACUGCAUUUGUGUCUGGCAGGCUAGAGUAUGGCAGAGGGGGGUAGAAUUCCACGUGUAGCAGUGAAAUGCGUAGAGAUGUGGAGGAAUACCGAUGGCGAAGGCAGCCCCCUGGGCCAAUACUGACGCUCAUGCACGAAAGCGUGGGGAGCAAACAGG